UACGUAGGAGGCAAGCGUUGUCCGGAAUUACUGGGCGUAAAGCGCGUGUAGGUGGUGGGACAAGUCUGCUGUGAAAGCGCCUGGCUUAACCGGGCGAGGUCGGCGGAAACUGUCCGACUAGAGGACGGUAGAGGGGGGUGGAAUUCCCGGUGUAGUGGUGAAAUGCGUAGAGAUCGGGAGGAACACCUGUGGCGAAGGCGGCCCCCUGGGCCGGCCCUGACACUGAGGAGCGAAAGCGUGGGGAGCGAACAGG
RNAcentral lists this ribosomal RNA (253 nucleotides) under uncultured bacterium. Its description in RNAcentral is "partial 16S ribosomal RNA". It matches the Rfam family "Bacterial small subunit ribosomal RNA", at positions 524 to 776 of the family's 1533-position model. The record is from RNAcentral.